Molecule: long non-coding RNA, 274 nt
Organism: Xiphias gladius (swordfish)
Lineage: Eukaryota; Metazoa; Chordata; Actinopteri; Istiophoriformes; Xiphiidae
Exons: 2
Source: RefSeq, a predicted model, not a curated record
AUGCCCCUGCCCACAAAGCCAAGUCCAUAGACAAAUGUCUUUUCUAGGUUGGCGUGGAAGAACCUGACUGGCCCGACCUUAACCCCAUCCACCCACUGAACUGGAACACCAACUGUGAGCCCAUUAGCGUGUAAGCGAUUAGCUCGCCAGCCGCUGCGAUUCGCCGGCUAUCCCUGAGAGCAGUCCCGUAUGUCAGCGCAGUGACACCUCGAGAAGAAACAAGCUGAAAUCAUCCUACUGCACUGACAGAUUUUUUUGCUUGUUUUUAAAAAAA